RNAcentral lists this ribosomal RNA (477 nucleotides) under uncultured bacterium. Its description in RNAcentral is "bacterial SSU rRNA". It matches the Rfam family "Bacterial small subunit ribosomal RNA", at positions 25 to 518 of the family's 1533-position model. The record is from RNAcentral.
CAGGACGAACGCUGGCGGCGUGCCUAACACAUGCAAGUCGAGCGAGGAGAUUCCUUCGGGAUGAUCCUAGCGGCGGACGGGUGAGUAACACGUGGGCAACCUGCCUCAUAGAGAGGAAUAGCCUUCCGAAAGGGAGAUUAAUACCUCAUAACAUUGCAGUUUCGCAUGGAACAGCAAUUAAAGGAGUAAUCCGCUAUGAGAUGGGCCCGCGGCGCAUUAGCUAGUUGGUGAGGUAAUGGCUCACCAAGGCGACGAUGCGUAGCCGACCUGAGAGGGUGAUCGGCCACAUUGGGACUGAGACACGGCCCAGACUCCUACGGGAGGCAGCAGUGGGGAAUAUUGCACAAUGGGGGAAACCCUGAUGCAAGCAACGCCGCGUGAGUGAUGACGGCCUUCGGGUUGUAAAGCUCUGUCUUCAGGGACGAUAAUGACGGUACCUGAGGAGGAAGCCACGGCUAACUACGUGCCAGCCGCUGC